CAACUCUCAACAACGGAUAUCUUGGCUCCCGUAACGAUGAAGAACGCAGCGAAAUGCGAUACGUAGUGUGAAUUGCAGAAUUCCGUGAACCAUCGAAUCUUUGAACGCAAAUUGCGCUCGAGGCUUCGGCCAAGAGCAUGUCUGCCUCGGCGUC
This 154-nucleotide ribosomal RNA is filed under the name Trebouxia jamesii. RNAcentral describes it as "5.8S ribosomal RNA". It matches the Rfam family "5.8S ribosomal RNA". Rfam says of the family: 5.8S ribosomal RNA (5.8S rRNA) is a component of the large subunit of the eukaryotic ribosome. The record is from RNAcentral. Lineage: Eukaryota; Viridiplantae; Chlorophyta; Trebouxiophyceae; Trebouxiales; Trebouxiaceae.